UCGUGGUGUGCGGAUAUUUUUUUCGCGUUUAUUCUGUGUGUAAUCAAAUUCGUUCCGCCAAACGGAGAAAAACUUGUGACCAAGCCUAUUGCCGGCUAAAAUUUUGCAAUUUUAAUAAAUUGGUUAUUUAAUUACCUAACUCAUAUAAAACGAAAACAUACGACAAAUAGGAAGCAGCAAAGGGUGCAAAAGCGAAUGCAUUUGUGCUAACCGCCAGCGCACGCAAAUGUUUGUAGUAAGUGUCACAUCAAUAGAGCAUAUGCUUGUACAUAAAUAACUGUAAAACAAGAGUAAAUAAAAUAAGUGUAACGUCGAAAAAAAAAUCAUGUGAUGUGGUCAUAAAAGGGUUUACAUGUGUUUAUUAUCAAUUAAGCAAGUGUCACAGCACACCCAAGGCGAUGAAGGAGCCGAUAAAAAUUGAUACGCUCUACAUGCUACCUACAACACCCUCAAUGGUUUGCACAUGGUUUGCAGUGUGCUUCGUGGCUGCUGUUGUGUGAGUGCGUGUCCAAAUCCCAUCGCGUGUCAGGACAGUGAUCGAUGAGCAAUUGAAAGAGAAUAGCAAAAUAGUCACUUAAAUAAUUGAAUAAAAUCGGUGGAAAAUAGAAAAGUAAAGUGAGCGCAAAGGUUGUCUACUUAUGAGAAUUGUGAUGCCCUUCAAUCGCCACGCAGCAGCAAUUAAGUAACAAAAAAAAAAAA
Long non-coding RNA from Rhagoletis zephyria (snowberry fruit fly), 699 nucleotides. RefSeq lists it as uncharacterized. The record is from RefSeq and is a predicted model, not a curated record. Lineage: Eukaryota; Metazoa; Arthropoda; Insecta; Diptera; Tephritidae.